Long non-coding RNA from Rhinolophus ferrumequinum (greater horseshoe bat), 1073 nucleotides. RefSeq lists it as uncharacterized. NCBI's taxonomy places the organism in Eukaryota, Metazoa, Chordata, Mammalia, Chiroptera, Rhinolophidae. The record is from RefSeq and is a predicted model, not a curated record. The transcript has 3 exons.
UGUGCUUUGUGCUUUAAGAUUCUCCCCGGCCCAACAGUCUGGUUCCAGCAGCGUGAGGUCUCCUCGAAUCCUGGAGAAUCAAACUGACUCCACCGUCCUGGAGUCUGCCAAGGAGCUGAUCAAUAGAAGCCGAGUUAUGAUAACCACAGUUAUCUGGCGGGACUACACCCGAGACAAAUACUCAAGGUGACUCUUCUCUCGAACUGCCACUUACACACAACUGUCCAAUGAAACCUGUACAGCAAAGACUCUGCGUCCAGCAGAACGGCAUGCCUUUCAUUCCACUGUCGAGACAGAAGUGAACUAACAGAAGAAUACAAGAACCAGAGGACCUCUGUGGAGAAGCUGACUGCGCCGCUGGCCACACAAAAGGCUCCUUUGAAACAAAUGAGUUCUGCCUGGCGAGCGGCGGGGACCCACUUGCCACAGCUCGCACCUGCACACCUCUGCCUUCCUCUUUUCACAGCCCCAGGGUCUUCCCGCCCAGUCCUUCCCUCUCCCCAUCUGGUAGGAAAUUUCAAUUUUAAAAAGCCCCACGUGCCUCAGCAAAACACGCGGCCCGCGGAGGCAGGGAUGCACGGAGCCUGUCACGUGUCCCUCUAAGUCCCCUCCCCAUGUCCUCUGAACUCUCCUGAAAGUUGCCGGUAACUCAUGUUUCCCGGGCUUCAUAGACCAUCUUCAUGCUGUUUUUUUCACAUACCCUCACGUGAUAAUGCACACUUAACACGUUUCUUUAUACUGACUCCCUUCUUUACUUAAAUACAUUGUAAAAGGAGAUAUUUUUUAUCCUUGCCAUAAAUGGAAAACUAAUGUUUUCCUAAUACACGUUGAAAGAAUAACUAAAAUUAAAAAAAAAAAGUUGACCUAUGAACUGCCUAAAACUCUUAUAACAGAAUUGCUGUUUACAUUUUACUAGAAGGCAAGGUGACCAUGGUGUCUUUCAGCACUGGUGUAUCUGUGAGCUUUGCACUGCGAUUCAGGACAAGACUAGCCCGGGGAGUGGCAGGGUGGCCGGCAGUGGCUUUGUCCUGGGGCUGGAGGUUCUGCUGGGGUGAGAACUCCCAUGCAAAACA